RNAcentral lists this ribosomal RNA (466 nucleotides) under uncultured bacterium. RNAcentral's name for it is "partial 16S ribosomal RNA". It matches the Rfam family "Bacterial small subunit ribosomal RNA", at positions 28 to 506 of the family's 1533-position model. The record is from RNAcentral.
GACGAACGCUGGCGGCGUGCUUAACACAUGCAAGUCGAACGGAAAGGCCCCAGCUUGCUGGAGUGCUCGAGUGGCGAACGGGUGAGUAACACGUGGGCAAUCUGCCCUGCACUCUGGGAUAAGCCUGGGAAACUGGGUCUAAUACCGGAUAGGACCUUUCUCCUCAUGGGGUUUGGUGGAAAGUUUUUCGGUGCAGUAUGAGCCCGCGGCCUAUCCGCUGGUUGGUGGGGUAAUGGCCUACCAAGGCGACGACGGGUAGCCGGCCUGUGAGGGUGAUCGGCCACAUUGGGACUGAGAUACGGCCCAGACUGCUACGGGAGGCAGCAGUGGAGAAUAGUGCACAAUGGGCGAAAGCCUGAUGCAGCGACGCCGCGUGGGGGAUGACGGCCUUCGGGUUGUAAACCUCUUUCAGUAGGGACGAAGCGCAAGUGACGGUACCUGCAGAAGAAGCACCGGCUAACUACGU